ACCAGCUCAGAGAGAUGCUGCUCUUGGUUGGCCACAGUCCUUAAGCUGACCUGGCAUGCAGGGAUGACAAAGGUGGGAGCUGAUAUGAGGUGCAGGGACUGAAAGCAAGCGAUGAAAUCUCACGACUUCGCGUGAACUCUCUCUCAUGACAGAGGACAACUCCUGACUUCGGUUUUCACUGCAGCAGUGUGUUAAGUCCUGACACACACUUUCAAUUCACAGUAUCUACACAAGUUUCAUGCUACAGCUUCGUGGGCAAAUAAACCUCAUAUCACAGCAGUGAA
Molecule: long non-coding RNA, 284 nt
Organism: Pipra filicauda (Wire-tailed manakin)
Lineage: Eukaryota; Metazoa; Chordata; Aves; Passeriformes; Pipridae
Exons: 2
Source: RefSeq, a predicted model, not a curated record